This 344-nucleotide long non-coding RNA is filed under the name Equus caballus (horse). RNAcentral's name for it is "lncRNA (ENSECAG00000059640.1)". Lineage: Eukaryota; Metazoa; Chordata; Mammalia; Perissodactyla; Equidae. The record is from RNAcentral.
GGGGAGGUCAGAAGUUCCCCAGGCUCACAGUGAGAGGAUCCAAACCCAGCCCUGGGGUGCAGAAAGAGACAGUGAGAUUGUAUGGCUGACUGGACUUGGGACGCCAUGGAGAACUUGAGCUACUCAUGUCGGAGGGCAUAAAGUGGGGAAGAUUCUGAGGAAGAGAGUACAAGCAACUUUCACACAGAAAUACAGAUCUGGUUUAGCUCCAGUCAGGAGCUGAGCUUCUUCGGAUCCUGCUCAUAGAGGGGCUUGCUCGCCGUGCCUGGAAGUGGGGGUCUCAUUCCUGCGCUGCUCAGGAGGAGCGCUGGGGUCCUGCGAUUGGAGCUCUUGCCUUGCCCCUG